UGGAAGUUAAAAAGUUGUUAACAAAGUUUCCGUAGGUGAACCUGCGGAAGGAUCAUUA
RNAcentral lists this ribosomal RNA (58 nucleotides) under uncultured Tomentella. Its description in RNAcentral is "18S ribosomal RNA". Lineage: Eukaryota; Fungi; Basidiomycota; Agaricomycetes; Thelephorales; Thelephoraceae. The record is from RNAcentral.